RNAcentral lists this ribosomal RNA (539 nucleotides) under Enterococcus durans. Its description in RNAcentral is "bacterial SSU rRNA". It matches the Rfam family "Bacterial small subunit ribosomal RNA", at positions 76 to 594 of the family's 1533-position model. Lineage: Bacteria; Bacillati; Bacillota; Bacilli; Lactobacillales; Enterococcaceae. The record is from RNAcentral.
GAGCUUGCUCCACCGGAAAAAGAAGAGUGGCGAACGGGUGAGUAACACGUGGGUAACCUGCCCAUCAGAAGGGGAUAACACUUGGAAACAGGUGCUAAUACCGUAUAACAAUCGAAACCGCAUGGUUUUGAUUUGAAAGGCGCUUUCGGGUGUCGCUGAUGGAUGGACCCGCGGUGCAUUAGCUAGUUGGUGAGGUAACGGCUCACCAAGGCCACGAUGCAUAGCCGACCUGAGAGGGUGAUCGGCCACAUUGGGACUGAGACACGGCCCAAACUCCUACGGGAGGCAGCAGUAGGGAAUCUUCGGCAAUGGACGAAAGUCUGACCGAGCAACGCCGCGUGAGUGAAGAAGGUUUUCGGAUCGUAAAACUCUGUUGUUAGAGAAGAACAAGGAUGAGAGUAACUGUUCAUCCCUUGACGGUAUCUAACCAGAAAGCCACGGCUAACUACGUGCCAGCAGCCGCGGUAAUACGUAGGUGGCAAGCGUUGUCCGGAUUUAUUGGGCGUAAAGCGAGCGCAGGCGGUUUCUUAAGUCUGAUG